This 711-nucleotide ribosomal RNA is filed under the name Escherichia coli. RNAcentral's name for it is "partial 23S ribosomal RNA". It matches the Rfam family "Bacterial large subunit ribosomal RNA", at positions 481 to 1191 of the family's 2925-position model. The record is from RNAcentral. Lineage: Bacteria; Pseudomonadati; Pseudomonadota; Gammaproteobacteria; Enterobacterales; Enterobacteriaceae.
UGACCGAUAGUGAACCAGUACCGUGAGGGAAAGGCGAAAAGAACCCCGGCGAGGGGAGUGAAAAAGAACCUGAAACCGUGUACGUACAAGCAGUGGGAGCACAGAGCAAUCUGUGUGACUGCGUACCUUUUGUAUAAUGGGUCAGCGACUUAUAUUCUGUAGCAAGGUUAACCGAAUAGGGGAGCCGAAGGGAAACCGAGUCUUAACUGGGCGUUAAGUUGCAGGGUAUAGACCCGAAACCCGGUGAUCUAGCCAUGGGCAGGUUGAAGGUUGGGUAACACUAACUGGAGGACCGAACCGACUAAUGUUGAAAAAUUAGCGGAUGACUUGUGGCUGGGGGUGAAAGGCCAAUCAAACCGGGAGAUAGCUGGUUCUCCCCGAAAGCUAUUUAGGUAGCGCCUCGUGAAUUCAUCUCCGGGGGUAGAGCACUGUUUCGGCAAGGGGGUCAUCCCGACUUACCAACCCGAUGCAAACUGCGAAUACCGGAGAAUGUUAUCACGGGAGACACACGGCGGGUGCUAACGUCCGUCGUGAAGAGGGAAACAACCCAGACCGCCAGCUAAGGUCCCAAAGUCAUGGUUAAGUGGGAAACGAUGUGGGAAGGCCCAGACAGCCAGGAUGUUGGCUUAGAAGCAGCCAUCAUUUAAAGAAAGCGUAAUAGCUCACUGGUCGAGUCGGCCUGCGCGGAAGAUGUAACGGGGCUAAACCAUG